CUCUCAAAGAACUUAUUUUGAGUAAAAUCUGCUCACUGUUUAUAUAAAUAGCCGCAGAAUUUACUGUGCUAAGGUAGCAUAAUCACUUGUUUCCUAAUUAGAGACUAGAAUGAAAGAUUUAACAUUUUAAUUACUUUCUUAUUUUAACAAAUAAAAGCUAUAUUAAAUAUAAAAAUAUAUUUAUAAAAAAAAUAGACGACAAGACCCUUUCGAACUUAACUUAUGUUUAGCUGGGGCAGCUACUUAAACAAAAUUUUAAUUUCUAUAAAAUUUAAAAUGACCUAAUUUCAUUAAAUAAAUGAUCAAGUUACCGAAGGGAUAACAGCAUAAUAAAAUUUUAAACUCUUAUUUAAAAUUUAGUUUAUGACCUCGAUGUUGAAUUAUUUUUCUUAAAAACGCAAUAGUUUUAAAAGAAAGUCUGUUCGACUUUUAAAUUUUUACA
RNAcentral lists this ribosomal RNA (442 nucleotides) under Mimetus sp. GH1388. RNAcentral's name for it is "partial 16S ribosomal RNA". The record is from RNAcentral. Lineage: Eukaryota; Metazoa; Arthropoda; Arachnida; Araneae; Mimetidae.